Trichonephila clavipes is the source of this 73-nucleotide non-coding RNA. The record is from the annotation of a GenBank genome assembly. Lineage: Eukaryota; Metazoa; Arthropoda; Arachnida; Araneae; Nephilidae.
GUCCCUGCAGUGCAAUGGGUAGCGCAUUUGACUCGUAAUCCAAAGGUUGUGGCUUUUCAUCCCACCUGGGAUG